AUGGCCGAGCACUCGACCUCCUCCGCCACCUCUCCGGCCACCAGCUCGGCCACCUUGCCGGGGGCUCUCUCCAGCUCGUCCACCGACGCCGGCACCACCGCCGGCACUUCUCCUCCCUUCAUCUUCGACACCACCCCCUCUUCCCAUACUGGCUCAUCCCCAUCGCUCGGCUCUCAGUUCGCCCCCUCUUCCCUCCCUCCACAGCGUCGUGCUCUCCUUCGCCGCCGCUCCCUCCCCCACCCCAUUUUCCGCGACAGCAUCCAGAACCACAUCAAGUUUCUUCUCAACCCCGACGAUCACAAAUAUCACAAGUGGAAGUCCUUCUUCCUCCUUGUUUUUAUCCUCUAUGGCGUCGCCCAGUUCAUCGAACAGCCCCUCCCCCCCAACGCCACCGCCUUCCAGCGCGAGCUCGACGCCCACCUUGUGCUUUGGAUCUACUCCACCCUCGCCGACAACCUCGUCGAUCACGUCGUCGGGGCUACCACCACCUACGAUCUCUCGCACCGCAUUCGCGACUACUUCCUGGCGAACCGCACGGCACGGUACAUGAUGUUGAACCGGCAAUACCACAACCUCAAGCAAGGAGAUCUCUCUGUCGCCGAGUAUGCCCGCCGCAUGAAGCUUCUCACCGCCGGGCUGGCUGACAUCGAGCACGCCGUCAUUGAGGUGGAUCUCACCACUCAGUUUCUUCACGGCAUCGACAAACGCCUCGACACCAUCCGCGUCGUGCUCGGGGACACGGUUCCUCUGCCGCUGUUCGAGACGGUGUUCUCUCGCCUGAAGCUCGCCGAGGAGAAUCUCGCCCAGCGCGUGGCUGAUGAGCCGGCCAUGAUUCUCGCCGUCACCGGGGGCGGCGGCCCCUCCAGCAGCUCUUCUGGAUCCGGCGGCUCCGGUCCUCGCCCCAUCGACCGCGCCGAUCGCUCCAAU
This 927-nucleotide ribosomal RNA is filed under the name Triticum aestivum (bread wheat). RNAcentral describes it as "partial small subunit ribosomal RNA". The record is from RNAcentral. Lineage: Eukaryota; Viridiplantae; Streptophyta; Magnoliopsida; Poales; Poaceae.